AUUGAACGCUGGCGGCAGGCCUAACACAUGCAAGUCGAGCGGAUGAAGGGAGCUUGCUCCUGGAUUCAGCGGCGGACGGGUGAGUAAUGCCUAGGAAUCUGCCUGGUAGUGGGGAUAACGUCCGGAAACGGGCGCCAAUACCGCCUAAGUCCCGAGGGAGAAAGGGGGGGAACUUCGGACCUCACGCCAACAGAUGAGCCUAGGUCGGAUUAGCUAGUUGGUGGGGUAAAGGCCUACCAAGGCGACGAUCCGUAACUGGUCUGAGAGGAUGAUCAGUCACACUGGAACUGAGACACGGUCCAGACUCCUACGGGAGGCAGCAGUGGGGAAUAUUGGACAAUGGGCGAAAGCCUGAUCCAGCCAUGCCGCGUGUGUGAAGAAGGUCUUCGGAUUGUAAAGCACUUUAAGUUGGGAGGAAGGGCAGUAAGUUAAUACCUUGCUGUUUUGACGUUACCAACAGAAUAAGCACCGGCUAACUUCGUG
Molecule: ribosomal RNA, 483 nt
Filed under: uncultured bacterium
Lineage: Bacteria
Description: partial 16S ribosomal RNA
Rfam family: Bacterial small subunit ribosomal RNA
Source: RNAcentral